RNAcentral lists this ribosomal RNA (208 nucleotides) under uncultured bacterium. Its description in RNAcentral is "partial 16S ribosomal RNA". It matches the Rfam family "Bacterial small subunit ribosomal RNA", at positions 1293 to 1500 of the family's 1533-position model. The record is from RNAcentral.
UCAGAUUGCAGGCUGCAACUCGCCUGCAUGAAGUCGGAAUUGCUAGUAAUCGCAGAUCAGCAUGCUGCGGUGAAUACGUUCCCGGGCCUUGUACACACCGCCCGUCACACCAUGGGAGUCGGUAACACCCGAAGUCGGUAGCCUAACCGUAAGGAGGGCGCCGCCGAAGGUGGGAUUGAUGACUGGGGUGAAGUCGUAACAAGGUAAC